AUACGUAGGGUGCGAGCGUUAAUCGGAAUUACUGGGCGUAAAGCGUGCGCAGGCGGUUGUGUAAGUCAGAUGUGAAAUCCCCGGGCUCAACCUGGGAACUGCAUUUGAGACUGCACGGCUAGAGUGUGACAGAGGGGGGUAGAAUUCCACGUGUAGCAGUGAAAUGCGUAGAGAUGUGGAGGAAUACCGAUGGCGAAGGCGACUCUCUGGACUGUAACUGACACUGAGGCUCGAAAGCGUGGGGAGC
RNAcentral lists this ribosomal RNA (247 nucleotides) under uncultured bacterium. Its description in RNAcentral is "partial 16S ribosomal RNA". It matches the Rfam family "Bacterial small subunit ribosomal RNA", at positions 523 to 769 of the family's 1533-position model. The record is from RNAcentral.